Pseudophryne corroboree (corroboree frog) is the source of this 547-nucleotide long non-coding RNA. RefSeq lists it as uncharacterized. The transcript has 4 exons. The record is from RefSeq and is a predicted model, not a curated record. Lineage: Eukaryota; Metazoa; Chordata; Amphibia; Anura; Myobatrachidae.
AGCUGCUGACGUUUCCAGUUUCCAUGCAGGAAGACUGGUAGGAGGAGAUCAUCUGGCAAAGAGAUUUGCAGAGUGUCGGGUGACCGGCAAAGAGAUCUGCAAAGUGUCAGUUGAAGACGACGGGAGGGGUCGCAGAGGUAGCAAUGACAGGAGUAUAACAUGCAGGAGUUCUGGCAAAGAGAUUUGCAGAGUGUCGGAUGACCGGCAAAGAGAUCUGCAAAGUGUCAGUUGAAGACGACGGGAGGGUUCGCAGAGGAAUUAGUGACUGGAGAAUAGCAUGCAGGAGUUUGUGAUACCUGAAUAGCUGCCCUGGGAGGAGAGCUGCGGACACAUGCUCCAAAUGUUGGGACAUAUGCAUUACCUAUUAGGAGAUGCGGUAAAGAUGCCGGCUGUCGGGUUUACGGCAGUCAGAAUACUGACACUAAGAUCCCGACACUCUUCAGAAUCCCGACGUUGGAACUCCGAAUGGGCAAGGAUACCACCGCCCGUAUACCCACGAUCAUAGGUUUAGGGCUGGGCAAGGAGGGCUAGGUUUAGGCAUAAGGCA